GUAGUCAUAUGCUUGUCUCAAAGAUCAAGCCAUGCAUGUCUAAGUAUAAACGCUUUAUACUGUGAAACUGCGAAUGGCUCAUUAUAUCAGUAAUAGUUUAUUUGAUGGUCCCUUACUACUUAUAUACCUGUAGUGAUUCUAGAGCUAAUACAUGCACUGCAGUCCCACCUGCUUCGGCGGACGGGAUGUGUUUAUUAGAUCGAAACCAAUGCGGCGCAAGCCGGUGUUGUGGUGAAUCAUGAUAACUUUGCGAAUCGCACGCCCUCUGUGGCGGCGAUGUUUCAUUCAAGUUUCUGCCCUAUCAGCUUUGGAUGGUAGGGUAUUGGCCUACCAUGGCUUCAACGGGUAACGGGGAAU
RNAcentral lists this ribosomal RNA (357 nucleotides) under uncultured fungus. Its description in RNAcentral is "SSU rRNA". It matches the Rfam family "Eukaryotic small subunit ribosomal RNA", at positions 20 to 370 of the family's 1831-position model. The record is from RNAcentral. Lineage: Eukaryota; Fungi.